This 107-nucleotide small nucleolar RNA is filed under the name Gossypium hirsutum (cotton). RNAcentral describes it as "Plant small nucleolar RNA R71". It matches the Rfam family "Plant small nucleolar RNA R71". From Rfam's summary of the family: R71 is a member of the C/D box family of snoRNAs containing the C (UGAUGA) and D (CUGA) box motifs. Multiple nearly identical copies of this snoRNA have been identified in Arabidopsis, and it is thought to function as a 2'-O-ribose methylation guide for 18S ribosomal RNA. RNAcentral also lists the same sequence under 1 other name. The record is from Rfam by way of RNAcentral. Lineage: Eukaryota; Viridiplantae; Streptophyta; Magnoliopsida; Malvales; Malvaceae.
AUCCCAUAAUGAGGACACUUACGAAGUAACUCCUUGAAUCGCUCCCAAGCCUCAUACAAAGACUCGUCAUCCAAUUUUUGGAAAGUUGUGAUCUUGUUCCUUAACUU